AUUGAACGCUGGCGGCAGGCCUAACACAUGCAAGUCGAGCGGAGCGGGGACGGGUGAGUAACACGUGGGUAACCUCCCAUCAGAGGGGAUAACACUUGGAAACAGGUGCUAAACCGAUACUGAUGGAUGGACCCGCGGUGCAUUGUCUAGUUGGUGAGGUAACGGCCCACCAAGGCCACGAUGCAUAGCCGACCUGGGAGGGUGAUCGGCCACACUGGGACUGGGACACGGCCCAGACUCCUACGGGAGGCAGCAGUAGGGAAUCUUCGGCAAUGGACGAAAGUCUGACCGAGCAACGCCGCGUGAGUGAAGAAGAUUUUCGGAUCGUAAAACUCUGUUGUUAGAGAAGCGGUAUCUAACCAGAAAGCCACGGCUAACUACGUGCCAGCAGCCGCGGUAAUAC
Molecule: ribosomal RNA, 403 nt
Filed under: uncultured bacterium
Lineage: Bacteria
Description: partial 16S ribosomal RNA
Rfam family: Bacterial small subunit ribosomal RNA
Source: RNAcentral